UGCGCAGGCGGCUAUGUGUGUGAGGCGUGAAAGCCCGGGGCUUAACCCCGGAAUUGCACCUCAAACUACAUGGCUAGAGCAUUGGAGAGGGUAGCAGAAUUCAUGGUGUAGCAGUGAAAUGCGUAGAUAUCAUGAGGAAUACCAGAGGCGAAGGCGGCUACCUGGACAAUUGCUGACGCUCAGGCACGAAAGCGUGGGGAGCAAAAG
This 207-nucleotide ribosomal RNA is filed under the name uncultured bacterium. RNAcentral's name for it is "partial 16S ribosomal RNA". It matches the Rfam family "Bacterial small subunit ribosomal RNA", at positions 568 to 774 of the family's 1533-position model. The record is from RNAcentral.